This 1543-nucleotide ribosomal RNA is filed under the name metagenome. RNAcentral describes it as "bacterial SSU rRNA". It matches the Rfam family "Bacterial small subunit ribosomal RNA". The record is from RNAcentral.
AGAGUUUGAUUCUGGCUCAGAACGAACGCUGGCAGCGUGGAUUAGGCAUGCAAGUCGAACGUGAAGCCGAUGAUCAAUUUUUCGGGAAAGUGAUUUGGUGGAAAGUGGCGGAAGGGUGAGUAACGCGUGGGUAAGCUACCUCAAAGUUGGGGACAACCAGAUGAAAAUCUGGCUAAUACCGAAUGUUGUCUUCUGGCGCAUGUCAGGAUGACCAAAGGCGGGGAUCCCGGUUUUCCGGGGCCUGUCGCUUUGAGAUGUGCCCGCGUGCCAUCAGCUUGUUGGUAGGGUAACGGCCUACCAAGGCUUACGGCUAGCCGGCCUGAGAGGGUGACCGGCCACACUGGGACUGAGACACUGCCCAGACUCCUACGGGAGGCUGCAGUCGAGGAUCAUUCGCAAUGCGCGAAAGCGUGACGAUGCGACGCUGCGUGGAGGAUGAAGGCCUUCGGGUCGUAAACUCCUGUCAUGAGGGAAAAGCAGCCUUACCCAUAAUACGGGUUGGGCUUGAUGGUACCUCAAGAGGAAGCCACGGCUAACUCUGUGCCAGCAGCCGCGGUAAUACAGAGGUGGCGAGCGUUGUUCGGAUUUACUGGGCGUAAAGGGUGCGUAGGUGGUAUCGUAUGUCGGGUGUGAAAUCCCAUGGCUCAACCAUGGAAUUGCAUUCGAAACUGCGGAACUAGAGUGCAGGAUGGGAGAGCGGAAUUCUUGGUGUAGCGGUGAAAUGCGUUGAUAUCAAGAAGAACACCGGUGGCGAAGGCGGCUCUCUGGAGUGCUACUGACACUGAGGCACGAAAGCUGGGGGAGCAAACAGGAUUAGAUACCCUGGUAGUCCCAGCCGUAAACGGUGCACACUUGGUGUGGGGAGAUUUAACCCUCUCCGUGCCGGAGCUAACGCGUUAAGUGUGCCGCCUGGGGAGUACGGCCGCAAGGCUAAAACUCAAAGAAAUUGACGGGGGCCCGCACAAGCGGAGGAGCAUGUGGCUUAAUUCGAUGCAACGCGAAGAACCUUACCAGGGCUUGACAUAUACCUGCACGCCCCUUGAAAGGGGGGAAGCCUUCGAGGGUGGUAUACAGGUGCUGCAUGGCUGUCGUCAGUUCGUGCCGUGAGGUGUUGGGUUAAGUCCCGUAACGAACGCAACCCUUGUGGCUAGUUGCCACCGGCGGUGAUGAGCCGCCGAGCACUCUAGCCAGACUGCCCGUGCAAGCGGGAGGAAGGUGGGGAUGACGUCAAGUCAGUAUGACCCUUACGUCCUGGGCUGCACACGUGCUACAAUGGACGGUACAAUGGGAAGCAAUACCGCGAGGUGGAGCAAAUCCAAAAAACCGUCCCCAGUACGGAUUGAAGUCUGCAACUUGACUUCAUGAAGUUGGAUUCGCUAGUAACGGCGCAUCAGCAACGGCGCCGUGAAUACGUUCCCGGGCCUUGUACACACCGCCCGUCACAUCAUGAAAGCCGUCUGCACCCGAAGUCGCUGACCCAACCCGCAAGGGAGGUAGGUGCCGAAGGUGUGGGUGGUGAUUGGGAUGAAGUCGGAACAAGGUA